Molecule: ribosomal RNA, 597 nt
Filed under: Triticum aestivum (bread wheat)
Lineage: Eukaryota; Viridiplantae; Streptophyta; Magnoliopsida; Poales; Poaceae
Description: partial small subunit ribosomal RNA
Source: RNAcentral
AUGCAUGGUCUGGAAUUGCUUAAGAAUGGUGUCAUUUGGCGGGUGGGUGAUGGAUCUAGCAUUAAUAUUUGGAGGGAUAAUUGGUUACCCAGGAACACUGGACUUAAAAUUUCAGCUAAAAGGCAUAAUACUAGAUUGAAGUGGGUCUCUGAUUUGUUCUUGAGUGGGAGAAAGGCAUGGGAUGAAAAUUUGAUCAAGUAUCUUUUCUAUCCCCAUGAUGCAGAGGAGGUUCUUAAGAUUCGUAUUCAUGCUUAUGGGGAUGGAGAUUUUAUUGCGUGGCACUAUGAGAAUAACGAUAUAUUUUCCGUUAAAAGUGCGUACAAUUUAGCACUUAAGUUGAAGGAUAGCCAAGAUAAAUUGGGUCAAUCUAGUGGCUAUCCAUGCGGAGAAAGAAGACUCUGGAAUUUAAUUUGGAAGGCUAAUAUCCCUCAAAAGAUAAGGAUUUUUGCUUGGAGGGCCGCGACCGAUAGCUUGGCGGUCCAGACCAAUAGAGUUAAGCACCAUCAGAUUACUUCAAGUAUGUGCUCCAUUUGUGGAGUAGAAGAGGAAAGCACAUUUCAUGCCCUAGUUAUUUGUCCUAAGGCUCAUGCACUGUGA